Molecule: microRNA precursor, 69 nt
Filed under: Bombyx mori (domestic silkworm)
Lineage: Eukaryota; Metazoa; Arthropoda; Insecta; Lepidoptera; Bombycidae
Description: mir-2774 microRNA precursor family
Rfam family: mir-2774 microRNA precursor family
Source: Rfam by way of RNAcentral
ACAACAUUCGGACCAACGGUCUACCGAGCAAUAUCUAGCACCCACUGUGGAAGAUCUUCCCUUUAUCGU